Molecule: small RNA, 215 nt
Filed under: Vigna angularis var. angularis
Lineage: Eukaryota; Viridiplantae; Streptophyta; Magnoliopsida; Fabales; Fabaceae
Description: Non-protein coding transcript
Source: RNAcentral
GUCGAAACCUACGGGCCAGGCCUCUCGCAUAGCAAGAGUAUUGAUACAUAAUGAAUUGAAUAACAACUAUGGCUUCAGCGAAAGUGAAACACUACAUCUUAUGAUCACUCCACUGUCCCCUAACAGCACACAUUCUAUGCCAAGAGAAAGGUAAUGGGCAGCUACGGGUAUAAGGAGGUGAAAGAAGAAUAAGGAAUGUUCACAUUUGUAUAAGC